Molecule: ribosomal RNA, 253 nt
Filed under: uncultured bacterium
Lineage: Bacteria
Description: partial 16S ribosomal RNA
Rfam family: Bacterial small subunit ribosomal RNA
Source: RNAcentral
UACAGAGGUCUCGAGCGUUGUUCGGAUUCAUUGGGCGUAAAGGGCGCGUAGGCGGCGGGGUAAGUCUGGUGUGAAAUCUCGGAGCUCAACUCCGAAAUUGCACUGGAUACUGCUCUGCUAGAGGGCUGGAGAGGAGAUCGGAAUUCACGGUGUAGCAGUGAAAUGCGUAGAUAUCGUGAGGAAGACCAGUGGCGAAGGCGGAUCUCUGGACAGCUCCUGACGCUGAGGCGCGAAAGCGUGGGGAGCAAAAGGG